Molecule: ribosomal RNA, 408 nt
Filed under: uncultured bacterium
Lineage: Bacteria
Description: partial 16S ribosomal RNA
Rfam family: Bacterial small subunit ribosomal RNA
Source: RNAcentral
GACGAACGCUGGCGGCGUGCUUAACACAUGCAAGUCGAACGAAGUGGCGAACGGGGGAGUAACGCGUAAUCAACCUGCCCUUCAGAGGGGGACAACAGUUGGAAACGACGGCUAAUACCGCAUACGGAAGGAGGGAAUUGCGGCUGAAUAGCUAGUUGGAGGGGUAACGGCCCACCAAGGCGAUGAUCAGUAGCCGGUCUUAGAGGAUGAACGGCCACAUUGGGACUGGGACACGGCCCAGACUCCUACGGGAGGCAGCAGUGGGGAAUCUUCCGCAAUGGACGAAAGUCUGACGGAGCAACGCCGCGUGAGUGAUGACGGCCUUCGGGUUGUAAAGCUCUGUUAAUCGGGACGCGGUACCGGAAUAGAAAGCCACGGCUAACUACGUGCCAGCAGCCGCGGUAAUAC